Molecule: ribosomal RNA, 253 nt
Filed under: uncultured Oscillospira sp.
Lineage: Bacteria; Bacillati; Bacillota; Clostridia; Eubacteriales; Oscillospiraceae
Description: partial 16S ribosomal RNA
Rfam family: Bacterial small subunit ribosomal RNA
Source: RNAcentral
UACGUAGGGGGCAAGCGUUAUCCGGAUUUAUUGGGUGUAAAGGGCGUGUAGGCGGGAGCGCAAGUCAGAUGUGAAAACUCAGGGCUCAACCCUGAGCCUGCAUUUGAAACUGUUUUUCUUGAGUAUCGGAGAGGUAAUCGGAAUUCCUAGUGUAGCGGUGAAAUGCGUAGAUAUUAGGAAGAACACCAGUGGCGAAGGCGGAUUACUGGACGACAACUGACGGUGAGGCGCGAAAGCGUGGGGAGCAAACAGG